UGACUUAUUUCACUCAGCACAAUACCCUCCAGGUCCAUCCACGUCGAAGCAAAUAGUGGGUAUUUGUCGUUUCUAAUGGCUGAGGAAGAGGACGACCAUCCCCGAUAGAGGAGGACCGUUCUUCGGUCAAGGGUAUACGAGUAGCUGCGCUCCCCUGCUAGAACCUCCAAACAAGCUCUAAUGGCUGAGGAAUAUUCCAUUGUAUACAUAGACCACAUCUUCUUUAUCCAUUCAUCUUUUGAU
Molecule: small nuclear RNA, 243 nt
Filed under: Canis lupus familiaris (dog)
Lineage: Eukaryota; Metazoa; Chordata; Mammalia; Carnivora; Canidae
Description: 7SK RNA
Rfam family: 7SK RNA
About the family: 7SK was discovered as an abundant small nuclear RNA in the mid-70s but a possible function has only recently been suggested. Two independent studies have found that 7SK RNA binds the CDK9/cyclin T complex (known as elongation factor P-TEFb).
Source: Rfam by way of RNAcentral